GACGAACGCUGGCGGCGUGCCUAAUACAUGCAAGUCGAGCGGAUUGAUGGGAGCUUGCUCCCUGAUAUCAGCGGCGGACGGGUGAGUAACACGUGGGCAACCUGCCUAUAAGACUGGGAUAACUUCGGGAAACCGGAGCUAAUACCGGAUAAUCCCUUUCCUCUCAUGAGGAAAGGCUGAAAGAUGGUUAACGCUAUCACUUAUAGAUGGGCCCGCGGCGCAUUAGCUAGUUGGUGAGGUAACGGCUCACCAAGGCAACGAUGCGUAGCCGACCUGAGAGGGUGAUCGGCCACUGGGACUGAGACACGGCCCAGACUCCUACGGGAGGCAGCAGUAGGGAAUCUUCCGCAAUGGACGAAAGUCUGACGGAGCAACGCCGCGUGAGUGAUGAAGGUUUUCGGAUCGUAAAACUCUGUUGUUAGGGAAGAACAAGUACGAGAGUAACUGCUCGUACCUUGACGGUACCUAACCAGAAAGCCACGGCUAACUACGUGCCAGCCGCCGCGGUAA
This 510-nucleotide ribosomal RNA is filed under the name uncultured bacterium. RNAcentral's name for it is "partial 16S ribosomal RNA". It matches the Rfam family "Bacterial small subunit ribosomal RNA", at positions 28 to 523 of the family's 1533-position model. The record is from RNAcentral.